ACCAGACUCAAGCUAGCGACCAAUUCUAGCGACCAAUCAAGCUAGCGACCAAUUCUAUCGACCACUUAAGUUAACACUGAGCAUAAACACAUAACAGAACCAUUUCGAGAUAUGUCUGAAAAUCACAAAAUGACAUUAUACUACAACGUUCUACUAAUAUUUAAUACAUGAGGUAUCGCUAUUGAUAGAAAAAAUACAUACUAAAUAUACUUUGAAAAGGAAACAUUGCAAAGGAAACACCUAUUAAUUUUGUUUCAAUUUUAUUUUGGAUUCCAACAAAAAAACAUGAGUAGCGUGCUUGCUUGCUGGAGGCUAAUAUUCUAAAUCAGUUAUUCAGUUUUUGAAGACUUUAUAUUACAUGGUAUUAUACAUUUAUUUCAAAUCGAGAUUUUUGUUUUAACUAGAUAUACUGUUUCCAGAUUAGAUAUUUAAAAAGAAAAACCUUUAUGGUCCAAAUACCUCAUAUGGUCCAGCCCGUUGAUAAUAAAACGAAUAUAAUACUAAUAUGGUCCAAUCAUACGCGUACGGUCAGACCAUAUGAGUAUACGCAUAUGGUCAUGACCGCACGCAUAUGGUCCAAAUAUUGAUAUGGUUCGGAACAUAUUCGUAAGUAUUGUAAAACAGAAUAAAAAAAAUUAAGUACAGCCGUUCAAAUGUCAACUUACGGUGAGAUAAAUAAAAUGUUUAAGUGAACAAGGAACUAGAAAAAUAUCGAGUAUUUCCUGAAAACCAUUUAGGUUUGAGGGGAGUGGUUCUCGAAACAGUAUAAUGGGUAUAGUCCAAGGCACUUCAGAUAAUACUGAAAGCAGUAAAACAAAUAAAAAUAUAAUAAGAAAGAAAAAAAGAAAAUUUAUUCAAUGCAACAUUCAUCAUCAAGUCAAAACAUUUAAACUACGUUCAGCCAGAUGCAUUUUUUAAAAAUCUUUAAUAUUUAUAUACAACAGAUUUAUUACAUAUUACUCAAAAAUAUCACAAG
RNAcentral lists this long non-coding RNA (976 nucleotides) under Mytilus galloprovincialis (Mediterranean mussel). Lineage: Eukaryota; Metazoa; Mollusca; Bivalvia; Mytilida; Mytilidae. The record is from RNAcentral.